UUCCAUCUGGAAGAAUCUGGAGACAGGUGCUGCACGGCUGUCGUCAGCUCGUGUCGUGAGAUGUUGGGUUAAGUCCCGCAACGAGCGCAACCCUUGCCUUUAGUUGCCAGCAGUUCGGCUGGGCACUCUAAAGGGACUGCCGGUGUUAAACCGGAGGAAGGUGGGGAUGACGUCAAGUCCUCAUGGCCUUUAUGACCAGGGCUACACACGUACUACAAUGGCCGAUACAAAGGGGCAGCGACACUGCGAGGUGAAGCCAAUCCCGUAAAAUCGGUCUCAGUCCGGAUUGGAGUCUGCAACUCGACUCCAUGAAGUUGGAAUCGCUAGUAAUUGUGGAUCAGCAUGCCACGGUGAAUACGUUCCCGGGCCUU
Molecule: ribosomal RNA, 371 nt
Filed under: uncultured Desulfobulbus sp.
Lineage: Bacteria; Pseudomonadati; Thermodesulfobacteriota; Desulfobulbia; Desulfobulbales; Desulfobulbaceae
Description: bacterial SSU rRNA
Rfam family: Bacterial small subunit ribosomal RNA
Source: RNAcentral